Molecule: ribosomal RNA, 2781 nt
Filed under: Romanomermis culicivorax
Lineage: Eukaryota; Metazoa; Nematoda; Enoplea; Mermithida; Mermithidae
Description: bacterial LSU rRNA
Rfam family: Bacterial large subunit ribosomal RNA
Source: RNAcentral
AGAAAUCGUUAAGGGCGUAUGGCGGAUGCCUAGGCUUUCAGAGGCGACGAAGGACGUGGUAAGCUGCGAAAAGCUGCGGGGAUUGGCACACACGAAUUGAUCCGCAGAUAUCCGAAUGGGGCAACCCGGCAUGUUGAAGACAUGUCACCUCGCAAGAGGAGCAAACCCGGAGAACUGAAACAUCUAAGUACCCGGAGGAAAAGAAAUCGAAGAGAUUCCGUAAGUAGUGGCGAGCGAAAGCGGAUUAGCCCAAAAGUCUUUUUAUGUUUAAUAGAAUGUUCUGGAAAGAACAGCCAUAGAGGGUGAUAGCCCCGUAUAUGAAAGGCAUAUUAAGAUGAUAAAUGAGUAGGGCGGGACACGUGAAAUCCUGUCUGAAUAUGGGGGGACCAUCCUCCAAGGCUAAAUACUCCUGAAAGACCGAUAGUGAACAAGUACUGUGAAGGAAAGGUGAAAAGCACUUCGAAUAGAAGGGUGAAAUAGAACCUGAAACCGUACGCCUACAAGCGGUCGGAGCAGCGUAAUGCUGUGACGGCGUGCCUUUUGCAUAAUGAGCCUACGAGUUAAUUUUACUAGCGAGGUUAAGGUAUUAAGUACCGGAGCCGGAGCGAAAGCGAGUCUGAAUAGGGCGCAUAGUUAGUAGGAUUAGACGCGAAACCUUGUGAUCUACCCAUGGGCAGGUUGAAGCUCUGGUAACACAGAGUGGAGGACCGAACCGGUUGACGUUGAAAAGUCUUCGGAUGACCUGUGGGUAGGGGUGAAAGGCCAAUCAAACUGGGAGAUAGCUCGUACUCUCCGAAAUGCAUUUAGGUGCAGCGUCGUAUAUAAGUUUAUUAGAGGUAGAGCUACUGAUUGGAUGCGGGGGUUUCAUCGCCUACCAAUUCCUGACAAACUCCGAAUGCUAAUAAAUGUUCUACGGCAGUGAGGGCAUGGGUGCUAAGGUCCAUGUCCGAGAGGGAAAGAACCCAGACCAACAGCUAAGGUCCCAAAAUAUAUGUUAAGUUGAAGCAACGCGGUUGGACUGCAUUGACAGCUAGGAUGUUGGCUUGGAAGCAGCCAUUCAUUUAAAGAGUGCGUAACAGCUCACUAGUCGAGCGGUCCGGCAUGGAUAAUAAUCGGGCAUAAACAUAUUACCGAAGCUAUGGAUUUAUAUUUUAGAUAUAUCUGGUAGGAGAGCAUUCUAUUUGCGCCGAAGCAGUACUGUGAGGUAUUGUGGAGCGGAUAGAAAAGAAAAUGUAGGCAUAAGUAACGAUAAAGCAGGCGAGAAACCUGCUCACCGAAAGACCAAGGCUUCCUCAGCCAUGCUAAUCAGCUGAGGGUUAGUCGGGACCUAACGCGAACCCGAAAGGGGUAGUGGAUGGACAAUGGGUUAAUAUUCCCAUACUUGCUCACAAUAAAAGGGGACGGUUGGAUGUAGCUGCUGGAGACUGACGGAAUAGUCAAGGCCUAGCCUUCGGGCGAAGCUGCUGUAGUGUAAUCUGAUCCAAGAAAAGCCGAAGUGAAGCAACCCGUACCAAAACCGACACAGGUGGUCGAGGAGAGAAUCCUAAGGUGCUCGAGUGAGUCGUGGCUAAGGAACUAGGCAAAAUAGUCUCGUAACUUCGGAAGAAGAGACGCCAACAGCAAUGUUGGCCGCAGUGAAGAGGCCCAGGCGACUGUUUAUCAAAAACACAGGACUCUGCUAAAUCGAAAGAUGCUGUAUAGGGUCUGACACCUGCCCGGUGCUGGAAGGUUAAGGAAGGUGCUUAGCGUAAGCGAAGGCAUUAACUGAAGCCCCAGUAAACGGCGGCCGUAACUAUAACNNNGUAAACGGCGGCCGUAACUAUAACGGUCCUAAGGUAGCGAAAUUCCUUGUCGGGUAAGUUCCGACCUGCACGAAUGGUGUAACGAUCUGGGCACUGUCUCAGCCACGAGCUCGGUGAAAUUGUAGUAUCGGUGAAGAUGCCGAUUACCCGCAAUGGGACGAAAAGACCCUGUGAACCUUUACUAUAACUUCGUAUUGACUUUGAGUAAGUAAUGUGUAGGAUAGGUGGGAGGCUUUGAAGCAGGCACGCUAGUGUUUGUGGAGCCGACGUUGAAAUACCACCCUUUACUUACUUGGAGCCUAACUUCUUUCAGAAGGACAUUGCGUGGUGGGUAGUUUGACUGGGGUGGUCGCCUCCAAAAGAGUAACGGAGGCUUUCAAAGGUACCCUCAGCACGCUUGGUAACCGUGCGUAGAGUGUAAUGGCAUAAGGGUGCUUGACUGUGAGACCUACAAGUCGAUCAGGUGCGAAAGCAGGACAUAGUGAUCCGGUGGUUCCGUAUGGAAGGGCCAUCGCUCAUAGGAUAAAAGGUACUCCGGGGAUAACAGGCUAGUCUCCCCCAAGAGCUCACAUCGACGGGGAGGUUCGGCACCUCGAUGUCGGCUCGUCACAUCCUGGGGCUGGAGAAGGUCCCAAGGGUUGGGCUGUUCGCCCAUUAAAGUGGCACGCGAGCUGGGUUCAGAACGUCGUGAGACAGUUCGGUCUCUAUCUAUUGCGGGCGUUAGAUGUUUGAGAGGGCUUGAUUCUAGUACGAGAGGACCGAAUUGAACAAACCUCUGGUGUAUCAGUUGUACCGCCAGGUGCACCGCUGAGUAGCUACGUUUGGAAGAGAUAAGCACUGAAAGCAUAUAAGUGCGAAACUCGCCUCAAGAUGAGACAUCUUUUAAGGGUCGUUGUAGAUGACGACGUUGAUAGGCUAUAGGUGUAAAGACAGUAAUGUCAUAGCCAAGUAGUACUAAUUACCCGUAGAUUUAUAGUCU